CCUACGGGAGGCAGCAGUGAGGAAUAUUGGUCAAUGGCCGGAAGGCUGAACCAGCCAAGCCGCGUGAAGGACGAAGGUGCCAAGCAUUGUAAACUUCUUUUGUCAAGGGACAAAAUCAGGCUCGAGAGCCUGACCGAGGGUACUUGAAGAAAAAGCAUCGGCUAACUCCGUGCCAGCAGCCGCGGUACUACGGAGGAUGCGAGCGUUAUCCGGAUUUAUGGGGUUUAAAGGGUGCGUAGGCGGGCUGUUAAGUCAGCGGUAAAAGCCCGGGGCUCAACCCCGGCGAGCCGUUGAAACUGGCUGUCUUGAGAUGUCGAGAGGUAUGCGGAAUGCGCAGUGUAGCGGUGAAAUGCUUAGAUAUUGCGCAGAACUCCGAUUGCGAAGGCAGCAUACCGGCGGCGAUCUGACGCUGAGGCACGAAAGCGUGGGUAUCGAACAGGAUUAGAUACCCGUGUAGUC
RNAcentral lists this ribosomal RNA (459 nucleotides) under uncultured bacterium. RNAcentral's name for it is "partial 16S ribosomal RNA". It matches the Rfam family "Bacterial small subunit ribosomal RNA", at positions 338 to 795 of the family's 1533-position model. The record is from RNAcentral.